Molecule: ribosomal RNA, 274 nt
Filed under: uncultured bacterium
Lineage: Bacteria
Description: partial 16S ribosomal RNA
Rfam family: Bacterial small subunit ribosomal RNA
Source: RNAcentral
AUACGGAGGGUGCAAGCGUUACUCGGAAUCACUGGGCGUAAAGCGCGCGCAGGCGGCUAUUUAAGUUGGAUGUGAAAGCCUACGGCUCAACCGUAGAACUGCAUCCAAAACUAUUUAGCUAGAGUGUGGGAGAGGAAGAUGGAAUUAGUUGUGUAGGGGUAAAAUCCGUAGAGAUAACUAGGAAUACCAAAAGCGAAGGCGAUCUUCUGGAACACUACUGACGCUGAGGCGCGAAAGCGUGGGGAGCAAACGGGAUUAGAUACCCUAGUAGUCC